UAGAACCCAAGAAAGAUAAAUGAUGUCCCUUGAACCCAAUCUAAACAAGCACCAAGAACAAUUGAAAUAGGAAAUCAAAAUUGAAAUACAAGUGAUAACAAUUGUAUUCCAAAUCAACACCUUAUGCAUAAAGUGAAAAGAAAGCCAAAACGCUCUUAACUCAAUUCUGAAAUAUUUGAUUACAACUCUUGAUGUCCACAAAGAAGAGUUCCUUUUGGUAUUUAUAACCAAAGAAAUCAAUGAUAAGUUAUAACACAAUAACUACAAUUGUAAUUGCCACAAUAACUAGGCUAAUUAUGUGAUAAUUACAAUUG
RNAcentral lists this long non-coding RNA (314 nucleotides) under Carica papaya (papaya). RNAcentral's name for it is "long non-coding RNA (CPAP_LNC000394)". The record is from RNAcentral. Lineage: Eukaryota; Viridiplantae; Streptophyta; Magnoliopsida; Brassicales; Caricaceae.